RNAcentral lists this ribosomal RNA (163 nucleotides) under Tripodanthus acutifolius. RNAcentral describes it as "5.8S ribosomal RNA". It matches the Rfam family "5.8S ribosomal RNA". From Rfam's summary of the family: 5.8S ribosomal RNA (5.8S rRNA) is a component of the large subunit of the eukaryotic ribosome. It is transcribed by RNA polymerase I as part of the 45S precursor that also contains 18S and 28S rRNA. The record is from RNAcentral. Lineage: Eukaryota; Viridiplantae; Streptophyta; Magnoliopsida; Santalales; Loranthaceae.
CGGCAACGGAUAUCUCGGCUCUCGCAUCGAUGAAGAACGCAGCGAAAUGCGAUACCUGGUGUGAAUUGCAGAAUCCCGUGAAUCAUCGAGUCUUUGAACGCAAGUUGCGCCCGAGACCAUUCGGUUGAGGGCACGCCUGCCUGGGCGUCACGCGUUGUGUCGC